UACAGAGGCCUCGAGCGUUAGGCGGAAUCACUGGGCUUAAAGCGUGUGUAGGUGGAUGCCUAAGUACCUUGUGAAAUCCCACAGCUUAACUGUGGAACUGCUUGGUAUACUGGGUGUCUUGAGCCACUCAGGGGCUACUGGAACAAACGGUGGAGCGGUGAAAUGCGUAGAUAUCACUUGGAACGCCAAUGGUGAAAACAGGUAGCUGGGGAUGUGCCGACGCUGAGACACGAAAGCCAGGGGAGCGAACGGG
RNAcentral lists this ribosomal RNA (253 nucleotides) under uncultured bacterium. Its description in RNAcentral is "partial 16S ribosomal RNA". It matches the Rfam family "Bacterial small subunit ribosomal RNA", at positions 524 to 776 of the family's 1533-position model. The record is from RNAcentral.